Molecule: long non-coding RNA, 1221 nt
Filed under: Microcebus murinus (gray mouse lemur)
Lineage: Eukaryota; Metazoa; Chordata; Mammalia; Primates; Cheirogaleidae
Description: lncRNA (ENSMICG00000048630.1)
Source: RNAcentral
CACGUCUGUUUCCUUCUGGAAAAGGAGGGCCGGACAAUGUGCCCGGGGACAUUCUUCCUCGCCUCCCUGGCUCAUUUCUUCAUGGCACGGACGCAGCCCCCUGAGCGCCCAGACAUGACCUGGCACCGUAUGGGACCCCGAGAUGGAAGAAGGCACAGGGAGCAGGUGACAGAGACAGACGAAGGUCAUGGAGAACAGCAGACUGGGAAGAGAAGAUAAAGGGGAGACCUGGAGAAGCAGUCCUGGGGCAAGCUCUGGGCAAGCUUUCUCCAAGAAGAGGGCAGCGUUCCCUUCCACCCAGACGUCAGACCUGUGGAAGGGGCCUGGGCUUCCGGGAUUCACCUGCACCCAGAGAUGCCAUCAAGAAGUUCUUUAAUGAAGAGCUAAAGGAUGGAGUCCACGCUUGCUCAAUGAAGACGGGUUGGGCCGGCUCUAGCUUGCCAGCCAUCCCUCAGCGGUCGACCAGACAAGAGAACCCUCCCUCGAAACACAAUUAAGAUGGCACUUUCAGACAUUUUAGCCAAUGAAAAGUUGCUUACAGAAUUAUAAAGCCUCUCUCCGAGUGAGUUUUCUUAACCUCCUAAACUCAAUUGUCCCAUUAUGGGUUUACAAGCCCUUGGGGACUGCUGUAUUAAGUAAAUUCAGAGAAACAGUCACAUUCAGUGGGAAGUAAAAUACCCAAGGCUGGUAGUAGGAAAAGGAGCUACCUAUUAGGACUUUCAUAAAAACCAGCCCCUAACGUAGAAAGAACAGUUCCCCCGAGACUCGCCCUGUGGAUUGCCUUUUAUGGGUUGGUUCAUAUUUAUAAGCCAAUUUGUCCAGGAAUAAAUCUCUUUAACACACUCAGCUAACUUCUAGAGGUGUGUCCCGUGGGAAGCAAUCUUUCUAAAUGAACUGUCUUAAGAAGGGCUUUAACAACAGCGUUGCCGAUCCUGCAAUCCCCACCUUCAGAGAAAAAGGCUUCUAUCAUCCAUAGAUUGCUUGGGCACGUAGAACACAUGGAAUUUAAGAAACUGUCAAAUUGAAUCCAGACACCUAAAAAAAAAUCUUCAUACACCUAAAGAGAUGACUAUGGAAAGAAAGUGAUUUUUGUUAUAUACCUAAAGAGAUGACUAUGGAAAGAAAGUGAUUUUUGUUAUACAACUCCGAAGUUCAGCAAUAGUCCACUUGACCCAAGAUUAACUCAGACAGUAGUUGGCUUUGCAUCUGCCAUAAUUUCUU